This is a long non-coding RNA of Oxyura jamaicensis (ruddy duck), 421 nucleotides long. RefSeq lists it as uncharacterized. The record is from RefSeq and is a predicted model, not a curated record. The transcript is spliced from 2 exons. Lineage: Eukaryota; Metazoa; Chordata; Aves; Anseriformes; Anatidae.
GGAGAACCAGUGAUUGAAAAGUGGAAAAAAAAGUUUGCCAAUAUAAAGAACAAAAUGCCUGCUGCCAAUGUACCUGUGACCAGAUCAGGAACAGGCUCAAAGAAUGAGGGAGUGGAAGAAGUCCAUGAAAGAGACAAUGCUCUUUACAAGCUGCAGUGAAAACCAAAAGACUGCCAGUAAAGUUGCAAAACUUGGCAGCAAGAAGCAAAACUGGGCACAAAGAGUUUCUCUUGCAGAAGCUACAAUCCAGGCACUGUGGCAUUCGGCUCUGCAGCCUGAGCACAGCUCCUGCGGACAUGCAUUUUGCCCUGCUUUCAGCACUGUUAGUUCUCAGCUUGCUCCUGAGCCACCAGGAAUACUUGCACAGAGCAAUUUUUGAAAUUGUUAGUAAAGACUGAACAGUAAUUUCUCUACUGGGUGA